CCUGUCAUGGCCGGUGAUCGUAAAAAAAGUGCUUUCAUUUAGAGAAUCAAUUCUGCCUCAAUGGCUAAUAACAUGAUGAGAUGGAGCUUGAGGAGCUACACCAAGCCAUUAAACAAGUGGCUAAAGAGACCCAAAAGCUUUGUGGCUUCUUCACUUGGAAGCAACAUGAGCAUCGCUUCGACCGAAUUGAGGCUAUAGUUAAUGCGAUUAAACAUCACUUAGGGCUUGAAGAUGAGCUUUCAACGUCAACAAGUCUAGUGAUACCAUUUUUGUUUAGUGAAGCUCGUGAUAUAAUAGAAACUACCGACAGUAAUUAUUUCACCAAGUUGGCCGAUAAAGUCUCCAAGAGUUCUACUGCUGACUCGUGAGCAAUUUCUACACGUUUUAUGGAGUUGAUUGAUCCGCCGACCAUUGAAGCUCAAGACAAGAAAACCCAAGUUAAGCACGCCAAACCCUUCAAUCACUGCAACCAUUUCUUCAAUAUGAAGGGCAUUAGCGGUCGAAGGUGCGAACUGAAGGAUGAAUAAACGCAUAUUGAAUAAACUAAAAUAUUUCCAGUUACGCAUCUUGCUUAAUGAAUGGAUCUCUUCGUAAAGCUUCAAUAUGCGUCACUGAAAUUCUUUUCAGAAUGGCUGGUCUACCGAUGGUGGAGAACUGCCUCUCGGGAUAUAAUAGUUGUAUGUUUGCAUAUGGACAGAUAGAAUAUGAUUGGGUACUCUUCAACUAAGUAAGAAUGGUGUUAGAUGAAGUUGUUUGUACCAUGUAAGCAUGGGAGUAUUGAAAAUGGGUUUAAAUUCUUAGAUUGCAAUUUACAUUAUAAUCAUGUAUAUUGUAGGAUUGAAAUUAGUUGUUGAUCUCUUGUAUAUAUACUGAAAUUUCUUACUGCUUGUAUAAUUGCAUUAAUUAUUAUUAUUAUUUUUU
Molecule: long non-coding RNA, 921 nt
Organism: Prosopis cineraria
Lineage: Eukaryota; Viridiplantae; Streptophyta; Magnoliopsida; Fabales; Fabaceae
Exons: 3
Source: RefSeq, a predicted model, not a curated record